CGUAACAGGAAAAGCAAGAACAAAACCAUUUAUAGAAUCUCAGAGCUGAAAGAGGACUCGGGGAUAUUUAUAUCAGGCCCUUGAUUUGACAGAUGUGGAAAGCAAAGCCUGGAGAGUGUUUGUAACUCACCCAUGCUCACACAGUGAGUUGGUGGUGAACUGGGACUAGCAUUCAUCUCUUCUUGAUUUUCAGGAAAAGAAAACCAAGAUCCAAAUAUGUAUAUAACAGAGGGAAGGCCACGUGGAGACACAGGGAGAAGACAGCCAUCCAUGAGCCGAGAAGAGACCUGAGAAGAAACCACCCAGCUGACACCUUGAUCUUGGACUUCCAGCCUCCAGAGUUGUAAGGCCAUGGAGAUACAUCUAUGAACAAAGAAGACAGAAAAUCCUACCAGAAUUGACUGAAAAGUUGAGUGAGGGGCAGGAAAGAAAAAGAGGUGGCAAAGGUGAGUCAAAGUUUUCGGCCUGAGCAACUUAAAGGAUGGAGAAGACAAACAGGAUGAGCAGGUUUUGGAGGUAAGAUUAGAUCAUUUGUGGAGUGUGAAGGUUUACAUGCCCAACAGACAUCCUCAUGGAGCUGUCAAGUGAGAGGUUAGAUAUGUGAGUCUGGAGUAAAGGUCACAGGUCUUGGCUAGAGAUACACACUUGGUGAUCGGUGUAUAAGUGGUAUUUAAAGCUAUGAGAGUGGAUGAGGUCAGCUCAAAAGGACGGCUGACAGAAAAGAGAAGAGAUCCAAGCACUGAAUCCUAGGCUACUCCAUGUGAUUAGCGAAAUUAGGAGGAAUUGGCAAAGGAGACUGAAGAGUAACCACAAAUGAAGGCAGAAACCAGGACAGUGUGGCAUCCUGGAAGCCAGAGAAGAAGGUAUUUCAAAGGUGAGGGAGUGAGCACCUUUUCUAAUACUAUUUGAGAACUGUGAAUUGGCUAUGAGGAUGUAGAGGUCACUGGUGACCUUGACGAGCACACAUUUGAUGGAGUGGUCAGAAAAAAAAGAUUUAUUAUAGCAGAUUCAAGAGAUAAUUGGUCAGAAAAGGAUCACUGAGAAAGAAAAAAGUAAAAACUAAAAUAAAGAGAGAAUUGGGUUUGUAUACCCA
RNAcentral lists this long non-coding RNA (1093 nucleotides) under Homo sapiens (human). Its description in RNAcentral is "HSALNT0392498". Lineage: Eukaryota; Metazoa; Chordata; Mammalia; Primates; Hominidae. The record is from RNAcentral.